AGUCGAACGAACCCUUCGGGGUGAGUGGCGCACGGGUGCGUAACGCGUGGGAACCUGCCUUUAGGUUCGGAAUAACAGUGAGAAAUCGCUGCUAAUACCGGAUAAUGUCUUCGGACCAAAGAUUUAUCGCCUUUAGAUGGGCCCGCGUUAGAUUAGGUAGUUGGUAGGGUAAUGGCCUACCAAGCCGACGAUCUAUAGCUGGUCUUAGAGGAUGAUCAGCCACACUGGGGCUGAGACACGGCCCAGACUCCUACGGGAGGCAGCAGUGGGGAAUAUUGGACAAUGGGCGAAAGCCUGAUCCAGCAAUGCCGCGUGAGUGAUGAGGCCUUAGGGUUGUAAAGCUCUUUUACCAGGGAUGAUAAUGACAGUACCUGGAGAAUAAGCUCCGGCUAACUCCGUGCCAGCAGCCGCGGUAAUACGGAGGGGGUUAGCGUUGUUCGGAAUUACUGGGCGUAAAGCGCGCGUAGGCGGAUUAGAAAGUUGGGGGUGAAAUCCCGGGGCUCAACCCCGGAACUGCCUCCAAAACUACUAGUCUAGAGUUCGAGAGAGGUGAGUGGAAUUCCGAGUGUAGAGGUGAAAUUCGUAGAUAUUCGGAGGAACACCAGUGGCGAAGGCGGCUCACUGGCUCGAUACUGACGCUGAGGUGCGAAAGUGUGGGGAGCAAACAGGAUUAGAUACCCUGGUAGAAGGGC
RNAcentral lists this ribosomal RNA (692 nucleotides) under uncultured Sphingomonadaceae bacterium. RNAcentral's name for it is "bacterial SSU rRNA". It matches the Rfam family "Bacterial small subunit ribosomal RNA", at positions 60 to 795 of the family's 1533-position model. The record is from RNAcentral. Lineage: Bacteria; Pseudomonadati; Pseudomonadota; Alphaproteobacteria; Sphingomonadales; Sphingomonadaceae.